Molecule: unclassified non-coding RNA, 413 nt
Filed under: uncultured fungus
Lineage: Eukaryota; Fungi
Description: partial contains small subunit ribosomal RNA, internal transcribed spacer 1, and 5.8S ribosomal RNA
Rfam family: Eukaryotic small subunit ribosomal RNA (bases 1-73)
Source: RNAcentral
ACAAACUUGGUCAUUUAGAGGAAGUAAAAGUCGUAACAAGGUUUCCGUAGGUGAACCUGCGGAAGGAUCAUUAUUGAAUUAUGUUUUCUAGACAGGUUGUAGCUGGCUCCUAGGAGCAUGUGCACGCCUGUCUGGACUUCAUUUUCAUCCACCUGUGCACCUUUUGUAGUCUUUGUCGGGUAUGGAGGAAAUGGUCAGCCUAUCAGCUCUCGCUGGAUAUGAGGACUUGCAGUGUGAGAACAGUGCUGUCCUUUACUUGGCCAUGGAAUCUAUUUCCUGUCAGAGUCUAUGUUAUGCAUUAUACCCUAUAAACUGUUAUUGAAUGUGUUUACGUGGGCUUCUAUGCCUAUGAAAAUUGUAAUACAACUUUCAGCAACGGAUCUCUUGGCUCUCGCAUCGAUGAAGAACGCAGC